UACGAAGGGGGCGAGCGUUGUUCGGAUUUACUGGGCGUAAAGGGCGCGCAGGCGGUUCUGUUUGUCGAGUGUGAAAGCCCCGGGCUCAACCUGGGAACUGCGCUCGAAACGGCGGAACUAGAGUUCGGGAGAGGAGAGUGGAAUUCCCAGUGUAGAGGUGAAAUUCGUAGAUAUUGGGAAGAACACCGGUGGCGAAGGCGGCUCUCUGGACCGAUACUGACGCUGAGGCGCGAAAGCAUGGGGAGCGAACAGG
RNAcentral lists this ribosomal RNA (253 nucleotides) under uncultured bacterium. RNAcentral's name for it is "partial 16S ribosomal RNA". It matches the Rfam family "Bacterial small subunit ribosomal RNA", at positions 524 to 776 of the family's 1533-position model. The record is from RNAcentral.